AAAGCCUAGUGACCAGCACCUCUCACACAGCAGACACAUGUAACAUUAGGUAGGCCAACUAACAAAGCCUAGUGACCAGCACCUCUCACACAGGAGACACAUGUAACAUUAGGUAGGCCAACUCACAAAGCCUAGUGACCAGCACCUCUCACACAGCAGACACAUGUAACAUUAGGUAGGCCAACUAACAAAGUCUAGUGACCAGCACCUCUCACACAGCAGACACAUGUAACAUUAGGUAGGCCAACUAACAAAGCCUAGU
Haliotis rubra (blacklip abalone) is the source of this 262-nucleotide long non-coding RNA. RefSeq lists it as uncharacterized. The record is from RefSeq and is a predicted model, not a curated record. NCBI's taxonomy places the organism in Eukaryota, Metazoa, Mollusca, Gastropoda, Lepetellida, Haliotidae. The transcript has 3 exons.